RNAcentral lists this ribosomal RNA (468 nucleotides) under uncultured bacterium. Its description in RNAcentral is "partial 16S ribosomal RNA". It matches the Rfam family "Bacterial small subunit ribosomal RNA", at positions 28 to 507 of the family's 1533-position model. The record is from RNAcentral.
GACGAACGCUGGCGGCGUGCUUAACACAUGCAAGUCGAACGGAAAGGCCCUGCUUUUGUGGGGUGCUCGAGUGGCGAACGGGUGUGUAACACGUGAGUAACCUGCCUUUUACUUUGGGAUAACUUCAGGAAACUGGGGCUAAUACCGGAUAGGAGCUCCUGCUGCAUGGUGGGGGUUGGACAGUUUCGGCGGUUGGGGAUGGACUCGCGGCUUAUCAGCUUGUUGGUGGGGUAGUGGCUUACCAAGGCUUUGACGGGUAGCCGGCAUGAGAGGGUGACCGGCCACAUUGGGACUGAGGUACGGCCCAGACUCCAACGGGAGACAGCAGUGGGGAAUAUUGCACAAUGGGGGGAAGCGUGAUGCAGAGACGCCGCGUGCGGGAUGACGGCCUUCGGGUUGUAAACCGCUUUCGCCUGUGACGAAGCGUGAGUGACGGUAAUGGGUAAAGAAGCACCGGCUAACUACGUG